This is a long non-coding RNA of Apodemus sylvaticus (European woodmouse), 5270 nucleotides long. RefSeq lists it as uncharacterized. Lineage: Eukaryota; Metazoa; Chordata; Mammalia; Rodentia; Muridae. The transcript is spliced from 3 exons. The record is from RefSeq and is a predicted model, not a curated record.
UUCAGGAUGUUGUAGAAGGGAGGCCUUCAAAAUGGGCAUCUGAGAGAUCGCAUCUGACAGGAGAGGCAGGGGCAGCCCAGGGCCUUGGAGAAGCUGGGUUGGACCACCGGUGAGCAGGUUCUUCAUAUAAGGCUCUGGAGCAAGUGGAACCGGAAGCUGGUCACACUCUGCUGAGCCAUAGACCUAGGCUAGAGGGCAAGAUUUUUGGAGUCUAAAAGGAGGACACUUAUGCAGCAGCCGUGAGGAUCAGGUAUCAGUUCUUUUCUUAGUACCCAACAGGCUGAGUCCGUGUCCCACCCCAGAUUAGAACCAGAAGAUGGCCAGCCACAGUAGAGGCAACUCUGGCUCAUGACAGGAUGCUUUCCUGGAAAGGCUGGUGCAUUUGCAGACCUGCCGGGGAGAUAGGUCUGGAGUCACAGCCCUCAGUGAUGGACAUGCGCAUGCACAAGCCCCAGAGAGAGAGGAUACGGCGGCUACUGGGCUGGGUGGAUGCAAGGAUGACACCUAGCAGUCCUGACAGCAGACCGUAAGCCUUGAAGCCACUCUUGCCUCCUGUUGCCCACUCACAGCAAAUCCUGUUGGUUCCACCUCCACACCAACUCCUUCUUAUUCCCUCAUAUUGCCCUCUGAAUCCCCACUGUCUCUUGUGGGGUACUCCAGCACCUCUACCAUCCUCCCUGUUUCUACCCUUCUCCCUAUUGUCUCUCCUUACCCUGGCAAACCCUAAGUCAUUUAUUUUGAAAGAUUUAUUUAUUUCAUGUGUUUUUCCUGCAUGUAUGUCUGUGUACACAUGUGUUCCUAGUACCCAGAGUGGUUGGACCCCCUGGAACUGGAGUUAUGGCUGCUUGUGAACCACCACUCGGGUAUCACACUCAGUCAUAAGCAAGAGCACCAAGUGCCCUUUCCUGGGGAAUCAUCUCUCCAGCCCUUACUUGUUUAUUUUUAUGUUUUUCUUCUUUCAAAGUUUUUUUCUGAGACAGGAUCUCUCUGUGUCCCUGGCUAUCCUGGAACUCUCUUUGUAGACCAGGCUGGCCUUGAACUCACAGAGACCCAUGUGCAGCCACAUCCCUGGGACUAAGGGCAUGGGCCACAAUGACCAGCUGAUUGGUUUCUCUUUGAUUCAAGGUCUGGCUAUGCCAGAGACAGGCUGACUUUGAACUUCUGAUCCUCCUGCCUCCAUCUCCUAAGUACUAGGUUACAGGUGCAUACAACUAGACACCGUUCAAGGCCAACCUAUUUUACAUAUCUGGUUCUAGCUCAAAAUCCAGAUAUGGUGGCACAUGCCUUUAAUCCCAGCACUAAGGAGUCAAGAGGCAGGUGGAUCUCAGUUUGAGGUUAUCCUGGUCUAUGGAGUGAAUUCCAGGACAGCCACAGUUGUAUAUAGAGACUGGGGGUGGGGCGGGGAGCAGAGAAAGAAAGAAGGAAAAGAAGAAAGACUCCUUCAACACUUCCUGCGCUGAGUGCCGCCUCUCAGAUGUUCUACCCCAGCAAGCACAGAUCCACUCCUUUCUCUUCCACAGUCUUCCAGCACUGCUGGUGUGGCCGCUCCACUGUUUAUUUGGAUGUGUUCAUUCUAUUGAUGCACCUUGGAUUGUUUCCAGUUCUUUGCUGCAGUUAAAAAAAAAUAACAACCAAAGAGAACAAAACAUCCCUUCUCCCACAUACCUGUAGAGAUUCUUUUCUUUUUCUUUUUCUUUUUUUUUUAAAUAUCAGUUUUUAUUCUGCCUCUAUGUAUAUCUAUGUGAAGGUGUCAGAUCCUCUGGAACUGGAAUUACAUACAGUAUUAAAUUGCCAUGUGGGUGCUGGGAUUUGAACUUUGGUCCUUUGUAGGAGCAGCCCAUGUUCUUGUCCACUGAGCCAUCUCUGCAGCCCUGAGAUGUAAAUUCUUAGAGUUGUUAUAAAGGGUGUGUACUUUGUUUUAUUUUUUCCAGGGAUGGGAAUUCAGCCUACAGUCUUCAGUAAAAAAAACUACCAUCAAGCUAAGUUCCUCACGUUGCUACAAAAACAUUUUUUUCUGUCAGCCUCUGUCCAGCUGUUUCAGGACCCGGCACCAUGCUGGUUUUCCUAAGGUUGCUGGUGUUCACAGGCUUCUUUCUCUCUGAUGAGCUUUGGCAUAAUUUGGUUGAAUCUUACCAGGUUCUGUGACACCACGACCAAAAAGUCACUUGGGAAAGAACACAGGGAUGAAUCAGUCUCCAUCUCUGUGAUGAAAAGGUCAUCUAGGCUGGGGAUCCUGCUGCUGAGGUCAUGCUGAUGGGAGGCAGUGAGGGCUGCAAACCAGUCCUAUCUAGCAGACGCCGUAGACCAGGAACCUCCAGAGAGGAGCCGAGCCGAGUUGGGUUUGGAGCAAUUGGGAAGUCCUCUGAGGAGUUCGGCCUCAGCUUUGCCCUGGCUACUGAACACUUUCUCAGAUACUAGGUCACUGAAUUCUCAUAACAGCUUUCGGUAUUGUCUUAGUUUAUUGCUGUGAUGAAACAUGACCAAAAAAGCAACUUGGGAAGGAAAGCGUAUAUUUGGCUUAGAACAGGAACUCAUACAGGGCAGGAACCUGGAGGUGGGAGCUGAGGCAGAGGGUUUGGAGGGAUGUUGCUUAAUGGCUUGCUCAUUGUGACCUGCUUAUUUAUAGAACCCAAGACCACCAGCCCAAGGGUAUCCCCACCCACAAUGGGCUGGGCCCUUCUACAUUAAUCACUAAUUGAGAAAAUGCCCCACAGGCUUGCCCACUGCCCAAUCACUGGGGGCAUUUUCUCUAUUGAGCUCCCUCCUCUCUAAUGACUCUAGCUUGUUGGCAUAAAACUAGCCAGUAUACUUAUUUAUUUAUUAUUUAUUUAUUUAUUAUUAUAAGACAUUUUUAUUUUAAUUUUUUUUUUUGGAUUUGGUUUUUUCGAGACAGGGUUUCUCUGUGUAGCCCUGGCUGUCCUGGAACUCACUCUGUAGACCAGGCUGACCUCGAACUCAGAAAUCCGCCUGCCUCUGCCUCCCAGAGUGCUGGGAUUACAGGCGUGAGCCACCACCGCCUAGCCAUUUUUAGUUUUAAAAAUUUUAAAAUUGUAUCUGUGUUUGUCUGCAUAUAUGGUAUGCCAUGUGCAAGUUUGGUUUCCAUAGGAGCUACAAGAGGGUGUUGAAUCCCUUAGAAAUGGAAUCGCUGACAGUUAUGAGACCUCAGGGAACUGAACCUGGGUGCUCUGCGAGAGCAGCAAGUGCUCUUAACUACUGCACCAUCUCUCCAAGUCCUAAUUUAUUUUUAUUUUAAAUUAUGUGUCUAUGUCAGUCCAUUGGUUUUCUAGACAGACUUCUCUUUCCCUCUUGCUUGUCAGUAUCAGAAAUUAGGCUUUUAGAGGUUCGUGUGGCGCCUCGGGUUGUAGUGCAGGUCUGUGACCUGAGCCACUCAAGAGGAUCAUGGGUCUCAAGCUCGUCUGGGCUACAGAGUGAGUUCGAGGCUAGUCUUAGUAAUUUAGUGAGAUACUGAGACCCCAUCUCAAAUCUAAAAUUAAUCAAGGGCAGGCUAAGUCAGGGAUGGUAUCAGCACUUGACGGGGUAGAGGCAGGAGGCCCAGAUGUUCAAGGUCAGUUCUUAGCUGUAUAGCCAGAUGGAGGCCAGCCUGUUCUAUAUGAAAUCCCAUCUAAGAAAGAAAGACAGAAAGACGGACAGACAGACAGAAAGAAAGAAAUACAGACAGAAAAGAAAGGGAAGACAGACAGAUAGAUAAAAAAAUGAGGACUGGAGAUGAAGUUCAGGUGUUAGGUGAAAUCCUGGGUUCAGGUACCAGCACUCACAAAACUCACACCUGUAAUCUCAGGCCUUGUUAUGCUUAACGGUGGAGGCAGGAGGAUCAUUGAGGCCAUACUUGGCUACGAAUUGAGAUAAAGGUCAGCCUGGACUGCUUGAGGCUCUGUUAAAAACAAAAAAUAGGGCCAGCAGGGAAAGAGGCUGGCUGCCAAGCCAGAAGUCCUGUGUUUAAUCCCCAGGCGCACGUAGUGGAAGAACAAAUUCCUGGACGUUGCCCUCUGGACUCCACGGGGGUCCUUCACCAGUAGAUCCAGCUCACUGGCCGGAUCCAGUGGGUCAGGUUGGACUACAGCCUGCAUAGCUUGCCUCUGUGGCCUAAGAGUCACGUGUCUUAUUAGUGUUGAAGACAGACCCAUAUGCGCACACUUACACACAAUACGGUACCGGCAAGCUGCACCGCUUUGCUGACUCUGGCUCCCCCGUGUGUCGACGACCGGAGCUUCAGUGGGCCUAGUGGGUUCUGCCUGGCUGCAUAAGAGUUGGGGGGGAAAAAAAAACAACCCAGAACCCAAUUGCUCCCAGCUGCUCUGGUUUGGAUCAUGCACAAAAGUUCAUGCAUUUAUGUGGUGCUGGAGAUGGAAGCCAAGGUUUUGUGAAUGGUAGACAAAAGUUCUACAACUGAGAUACUUCUUCAGCUGCUUUUAUAUUUUUGAAAACUAGAAUACAGGGUUUAUUUAAACAAUCUAAUUGAAGGCUGCAGAAACAAUUACUUUGUCAGUUGAGGGUGUUUAACCACCUUUGUAUUAUGAGGUUGGGUACUCCUUAUCAGCAUUGACCUCACGCCGUUGUGGAUACAUCUGGGAAAAAUGUGACUAAAGAAGGCUUGAGACUGGAGAUGGACUCUGUAAUCCGAAGUAUCAAAGAUUCCUGGUUUGAUCAUUUCUCAAUAGCAUGGUGGGGCAAAAAUCAUCCCUCUACAUAAAGAGACCUUUAUCGGCUCCAGAUGGAGGCGCCACAGCCUAGCAUUUGGGGCCCUUGGGGGCCAUUCUGAGCAACCUUUUGGGGCUUAGAUAAAUCUUCUGCACAUUUGCCACCACUCAGAGUAUCUCCCCACACCCCAGCAAGGGGGGAUGGGACUAAAAUCCAGAGACAUCUGGGCAGUGUUCAGACAUCACACAAACAUAUGGAACUGCAAACAUCUGCAUGGGCUCCCAUCCUGGGGCAGUCUACUGCACUGUCCCCCACUCUGCUCCUUUGUAAGCUUCUGUUCACCUGACCAAGAACAAGACAGUUCCCAGAGACCAAAGAAGACGGGCAACGAAAGAACUCAGCAGUGUGGAUUCCAGAAUGCCAGCCUUAGACUGCUACCACCAGUGGAGCACACACACUGGGACAACCGCACCGUCUGCUCUGGCAUCUGGCAUCUUCCUGCUUCCUCCGUGUUUCUGUUUGUUUGCGUUUGGUUUUGGCCAAUCUAAGUAAUGUAAUUUAUAUCUAAUUGUUGCUGUGACCCGAUUUUUCUGAUCGUGAAUAUAUCUUUU